RNAcentral lists this microRNA precursor (157 nucleotides) under Pelobates cultripes (western spadefoot toad). Lineage: Eukaryota; Metazoa; Chordata; Amphibia; Anura; Pelobatidae. The record is from RNAcentral.
GCAGACACAUUCCAGCCAAUCAGCAGCAGACCCUCCCUCCCAGACCCUCCCACCUCCUGGACAGCAUCCAUUUUGAAGCUGCAUCCUUAGUGAGCUGUCCAGGAGGUGGGAGGGUCUGGGAGAGAGGGUCUGCUGCUGAUUGGCUGGAAUGUGUCUG